This 535-nucleotide ribosomal RNA is filed under the name Porphyromonadaceae bacterium. RNAcentral describes it as "partial 23S ribosomal RNA". It matches the Rfam family "Bacterial large subunit ribosomal RNA", at positions 1 to 751 of the family's 2925-position model. Lineage: Bacteria; Pseudomonadati; Bacteroidota; Bacteroidia; Bacteroidales; Porphyromonadaceae. The record is from RNAcentral.
AAGAAAGUAAGAAAGGGCGCAUGGCGGAUGCCUUGGCUCACGGAGGCGAUGAAGGACGUGAUAAGCUGCGAUAAGCCUUGGGUAGGUGCAAAUAACCUUUGAUCCAAGGAUUUCCGAAUGGGACAACCCAGCAGGUUGAAGACCUGUUAUCACUACAGACGUAGUGAGGCGAACGAAGGGAACUGAAACAUCUUAGUACCUUUAGGAAGAGAAAAUAAAUAAUGAUUCCCCUAGUAGUGGCGAGCGAACGGGGAAUAGCCCGUGAGACCGAUAGUGAACGAGUACUGUGAAGGAAAGGUGAAAAGCACUCCGAUGAGGAGAGUGAAAUAGUUCCUGAAACCAUGCGCCUACAAGCGGUCGGAGCCGCGUAAGCGGUGACGGCGUGCCUUUUGCAUAAUGAACCUACGAGUUACCAUGUCUGGCAAGGAUAAGCGUCAUGAGACGCGCAUCCGCAGUGAAAGCGAGCCUGAAUAGGGCGUCGAGUCAGAUGGGGUAGACGCGAAACCAAGUGAUCUACACUUCCCCAGUUUGAAGU